Molecule: ribosomal RNA, 465 nt
Filed under: uncultured bacterium
Lineage: Bacteria
Description: partial 16S ribosomal RNA
Rfam family: Bacterial small subunit ribosomal RNA
Source: RNAcentral
GACGAACGCUGGCGGCGUGCUUAACACAUGCAAGUCGAACGGAAAGGCCCCUUUGGGGGUACUCGAGUGGCGAACGGGUGAGUAACACGUGAGUAACCUGCCCUUGACUUCGGGAUAACUUCAGGAAACUGGGGCUAAUACCGGAUAGGAAUCCUUGCUUCAUGGUGGGGGUUGGAAAGCUUCGGCGGUUUUGGAUGGACUCGCGGCUUAUCAGCUUGUUGGUGGGGUAGUGGCUUACCAAGGCUUUGACGGGUAGCCGGCCUGAGAGGGCGACCGGCCACAUUGGGACUGGGAUACGGCCCAGACUCCUACGGGAGGCAGCAGUGGGGAAUAUUGCACAAUGGGCGGAAGCCUGAUGCAGCAACGCCGCGUGCGGGAUGACGGCCUUCGGGUUGUAAACCGCUUUCAGCAGGGGCGAAGCUUGUGGUGACGGUACCUGCAGAAGAAGCACCGGCUAACUACGUG